ACAUAGGUGGCUAAAUUAUCAAUGCCUUGUUACAGUGGUGGAAAAUACUACUAGUAGUUUUGGGCACUUUCUAUUUUUAUUUUUACAGAAUUAAUUCAAGAAAAAAAUUAGUAUGCUCGUUCCAGAUCUCUAACCCCACGCCUCCAUUCGUCAAUUGCUGAAGAGGAGGCUUCCCCUACUUGGCUUGUGUACAGCUCGCGAGGAUGUUUCGAUGAACUGGUAGAAUUGCAUGUGUACGAAAUGAGGAGGAAUUGCAGUGUACAAAAUGUGUUUCGGCACUUCCGAUCUGAUCUGAACCAAUGGAUGAUCCAUUUUUUUCCAUCGACCGUAAAACAUGUAAUUAGGAAUAUAGAGUGUCACUUUAUUUAUUUUUUUCCUUGCUCACGUGGAAGCUUUUAAGCUUUGAACGCAAAUAUGGAGGCUUCUUUGGUUGGCCAAAUAAACACUAUGUUAAAAUAUCUUGUUUCGAUUGGAAUCUUACAAUUUUUACUUUGAACGCAAAUAUGGUUGGACAUAUAAACACUAGUAUGUUAAUAUAUCUAUCCGAACGCAAAUAUGGAGGCUU
RNAcentral lists this long non-coding RNA (565 nucleotides) under Sorghum bicolor (sorghum). RNAcentral describes it as "long non-coding RNA (SBIC_LNC015361)". The record is from RNAcentral. Lineage: Eukaryota; Viridiplantae; Streptophyta; Magnoliopsida; Poales; Poaceae.